AAACAUGCCAUCGGACUUCUCUCCAUGAUGCUGUGUUUUAUAAUAAUGGCGGUGCUGUGGGCUGGAGAUCGUCCUUAUGUUAGAUGUGAUUCAAAAUGCAAGGCAUGAGUUAUCUUUCUCUCGGCUGCGUCUUGCCUGUUUUGGUCCACAUGAAAACUGCAAGUUUUGAAGACUAGAACUGGAAGGAUUUUCUGUCUUUAAGACCUGCUUGUGAGCCUUCUGAAGAUGGCAGGGCAAACCACUGUGAGGACGGAGGUGGAGGUCCUGAUCCCUGGAGCG
Molecule: long non-coding RNA, 279 nt
Organism: Struthio camelus australis
Lineage: Eukaryota; Metazoa; Chordata; Aves; Struthioniformes; Struthionidae
Source: RefSeq, a predicted model, not a curated record